This 468-nucleotide ribosomal RNA is filed under the name uncultured bacterium. RNAcentral describes it as "partial 16S ribosomal RNA". It matches the Rfam family "Bacterial small subunit ribosomal RNA", at positions 28 to 507 of the family's 1533-position model. The record is from RNAcentral.
GACGAACGCUGGCGGCGUGCUUAACACAUGCAAGUCGAACGGAAAGGCCCUGCUUUUGUGGGGUGCUCGAGUGGCGAACGGGUGAGUAACACGUGAGUAACCUGCCCUUGACUUUGGGAUAACUUCAGGAAACUGGGGCUAAUACCGGAUAGGAGCCCCUGCUGCAUGGUGGGGGUUGGAAAGUUUCGGCGGUUGGGGAUGGACUCGCGGCUUAUCAGCUUGUUGGUGGGGUAGUGGCUUACCAAGGCUUUGACGGGUAGCCGGCCUGAGAGGGUGACCGGCCACAUUGGGACUGAGAUACGGCCCAGACUCCUACGGGAGGCAGCAGUGGGGAAUAUUGCACAAUGGGCGGAAGCCUGAUGCAGCAACGCCGCGUGCGGGAUGACGGCCUUCGGGUUGUAAACCGCUUUCGCCUGUGACGAAGCGUGAGUGACGGUAGUGGGUAAAGAAGCACCGGCUAACUACGUG